UGGGGAAUAUUGCACAAUGGGGGAAACCCUGAUGCAGCGACGCCGCGUGAACGAAGAAGGUAUUCGUAUCGUAAAGUUCUGUCCUAUGGGAAGAUAAUGACAGUACCAUAGAAGAAAGCUCCGGCUAAAUACGUGCCAGCAGCCGCGGUAAUACGUAUGGAGCGAGCGUUGUCCGGAAUUAUUGGGCGUAAAGGGUACGCAGGCGGUUUAAUAAGUCGAAUGUUAAAGAUCGGGGCUCAACCCCGUAAAGCAUUGGAAACUGAUAAACUUGAGUAGGGGAGAGGAAAGUGGAAUUCCUAGUGUAGUGGUGAAAUACGUAGAUAUUAGGAGGAAAACCAGUAGCGAGGGCGACUUUCUGGACACAAACUGACGCUGAGGUACGAAAGCGUGGGGAGCAAACAGG
RNAcentral lists this ribosomal RNA (403 nucleotides) under Actinomycetes bacterium. RNAcentral's name for it is "Actinobacteria bacterium partial 16S ribosomal RNA". It matches the Rfam family "Bacterial small subunit ribosomal RNA", at positions 355 to 776 of the family's 1533-position model. The record is from RNAcentral. Lineage: Bacteria; Bacillati; Actinomycetota; Actinomycetes.